GGGGACUAUUUACAAAAAAAGCCCUAUAAUUUUUGAUUUAUUUGAUUUGAGCCAAUCAACGACGCUUUGAUUUUAAAAUAUGAAUGUGUUUAUUAUCUUUAUAGGUUUAAUUAUUAUUUUUUAUGUAAUUCUUAUCAAUAAUUUAAACUUUAAAAUUAAUUACUAUCUGAAAGUAUUGUUGGGUCAUCUGCCACUUGUUAAACUAGUGAUUCAAUCACAUAAUUGAAUGAUUCAGCGUAUCAUCAUAAAUACUUAGCAAUUAUUUCUU
Molecule: long non-coding RNA, 268 nt
Filed under: Ananas comosus (pineapple)
Lineage: Eukaryota; Viridiplantae; Streptophyta; Magnoliopsida; Poales; Bromeliaceae
Description: long non-coding RNA (ACOM_LNC020228)
Source: RNAcentral